AUCUUCAGGGCAGGGUGAAAGUCCCUACCGGCGGUAAAGCCCGCGAGCGCACCCGGCGCGUCCUCUCUUCGACGCCCCGCACGCGCAUGAUCCGGCGAAAUUCCGGAGCCGACGGUCAGAGUCCGGAUGAAAGAAGAU
This 138-nucleotide non-coding RNA is filed under the name uncultured Sutterella sp. RNAcentral's name for it is "FMN riboswitch (RFN element)". It matches the Rfam family "FMN riboswitch aptamer (RFN element)". Rfam says of the family: The RFN element is a highly conserved domain that is found frequently in the 5'-untranslated regions of prokaryotic mRNAs that encode for flavin mononucleotide (FMN) biosynthesis and transport proteins. Lineage: Bacteria; Pseudomonadati; Pseudomonadota; Betaproteobacteria; Burkholderiales; Sutterellaceae. The record is from RNAcentral.